RNAcentral lists this ribosomal RNA (253 nucleotides) under uncultured bacterium. RNAcentral's name for it is "partial 16S ribosomal RNA". It matches the Rfam family "Bacterial small subunit ribosomal RNA", at positions 524 to 776 of the family's 1533-position model. The record is from RNAcentral.
UACGGAGGGUGCAAGCGUUAUCCGGAUUCACUGGGUUUAAAGGGUGCGUAGGCGGGCAGGUAAGUCCGUGGUGAAAUCUCUGAGCUUAACUCAGAAACUGCCAUGGAUACUAUUUGUCUUGAAUGUUGUGGAGAUAAGCGGAAUAUGUCAUGUAGCGGUGAAAUGCUUAGAUAUGACAUAGAACACCAAUUGCGAAGGCAGCUUACUACACAAAUAUUGACGCUGAGGCACGAAAGCGUGGGGAUCAAACAGG